RNAcentral lists this long non-coding RNA (1632 nucleotides) under Gallus gallus (chicken). RNAcentral describes it as "lncRNA (ENSGALG00010002524.1)". The record is from RNAcentral. Lineage: Eukaryota; Metazoa; Chordata; Aves; Galliformes; Phasianidae.
GAAUGAUUGCUUUCAGUGUUGCAGGAGCUGAAGUGCGCCCCAUGUUUUAUCAUCACGGUCCUCUACAAGAAAUCUUGAAGAUGAGAUGGAGUGCAUCAAAUAUGAACUAUUUUUAUCAUCACAGAGUGGCCAAGGCGUUGGACUUCCUGUGAGUGUACGUACAGCCGGAGUGAAACUUCAGCUUCAGCACAUUUCCUGCACCAGCUUAUGUGCUGCAGCAAAUGAUUUUGGAUUGACGCCAUAAAACCGGCCUACUUCGUGGUUUAAUUAUUAUUUUAUAAUCAAGGAUGCAGCAUGAAUUGUGGAGAAAACAAUGAAAAUCUGCAGAGCCACAUCUUCAGGCUGCGCAUUAAGAUUGCAUGGAAAUCGUUUCUCUCCUGACCAAAAUGUCAUCUUUACUAAUAAUGGACAUCUGAAAUAGGAAAUGAAUAACGUAAAAUCCAUUUGAAACCGUACAGGCUAAUUGCUGAAAUAGGAGGAAUGACGUUUGCUUACCUUGCUUAUUGGAGCAGGACUUGGUGUACAGGGGAUGGAGAGACCUGCUUGUCCAUAACCGCAAUCAGGAGCUCUGCAGAGAAGCCCUAUGGUAUCCCAAAAAUGCCUGUCAAUUAAUCACUCAUCACUCAGCAGAGUGUUAUUAGAGCUGGGGACUAAACACCUGGAUUUCAGAUGAGCGGCAUUUAUCAAUUCCAGUGGCUCACACUGCGAAGAAAGAGGAACUACACUGUGUUGCUGCCAGCAACUUGUGAAGGGAUGCAAGAAAUAAAUAAACGGGAAUUUCUUUUCAAGACAGGAAAGUCAUCCUAUCCAGGCUUCUUUGGCUAUUCUACAACGUCGCCUGAAGGCCUUUAAGUGAUAUAACCUUUUGUGGAGUUGCUUUUGACAACACAGAGAAGUUGCUCUCCAUGGUAUUUGAUGAGUAAUGACAUUUGAUUAGCAUGUGAGCACUGGUUGCUGUAUAAAUGGAAGCUCUGUGCAGAAAUCGGGCAAGAUUCCAGUCUUGAAGUUGUCAAGAGCAGAGAGAACAAGAUGUAUAACAAGCAGAGGGGUAAUUCAGAUCCCUGCCAAACCUUUGGUGCUGAAGUUUUACAUGCACAAUAAUUUUUUACCCCUUUUAUUCUUCAUGGAUCUGAGCUGAGACAGGCCCAAAGCACGAGGAGGUGGCAAUGGGGUGCCACGAGCACCAUGGGGAGCUCCUGGGGCUGUGUCUGCCCUGGAAGCAGCUGAAGGCCUUAUACACAUACACAGACAUGCAUGUAGCAGCUGUGCUGCAGAGGUGGUGCUUGCACUGCUGAGACCUGCAGGAAAGAUGCAGAUAGCCAUGCUGCUUUUGUUAACUGUUUCCUCAAGCAGCCUAACUAAGCUGAUAAAGCAUCUCUGUAUCUACCCUGAGGGCUUCCUGGGCAGAGCUAAGCUGGCAUUGAGAUAGGAUUUUUUUUUAAGCAUUCAUAACCGAUGUGGUUGUUUCAGUGGAAGCUUUAUAUGGUGUACUUAGCCAUGAUGAAGAGGACUCCUGUGCUGCCAACCUUUGUACAGUGCUGUAUUUUAGGCAGGGCUUGCUCUGUUUUUCAAUUGGGAUGUCCAAUAUAAUGCACUACUGCAAUUUGUCUGUCAAUAAAAUUGCUAUUUCCU